This 538-nucleotide ribosomal RNA is filed under the name Piloderma byssinum. Its description in RNAcentral is "eukaryotic LSU rRNA". The stretch from base 217 to 371 matches the Rfam family "5.8S ribosomal RNA". The record is from RNAcentral. Lineage: Eukaryota; Fungi; Basidiomycota; Agaricomycetes; Atheliales; Atheliaceae.
UGCGGAAGGAUCAUUAUCGAAAUUAUAGGCGAGGGUUGUAGCUGGCCUCCCGGGGCAUGUGCACGCCUGAGCCCUUAAUCCCACACACACCUGUGAACCUAUUGUAAGGGCCCGUAAAAAAGGCCUUUACGUCUUUAUCACCUACACGAAAGUCUCAAUAGAAUGUAAAUGUAAUGUCCUCGCCUUAAAAAAGCGUUGAUAAAAAAAAAGUUAUACAACUUUCAACAACGGAUCUCUUGGCUCUCGCAUCGAUGAAGAACGCAGCGAAAUGCGAUAAGUAAUGUGAAUUGCAGAUUUUCAGUGAAUCAUCGAAUCUUUGAACGCACCUUGCGCUCCUUGGUAUUCCGAGGAGCAUGCCUGUUUGAGUGUCAUUAAAUUCUCAAACUCUGAUUGAUUUUGUUUCGGUCAGAGCUUUGGAUUUGGAGCGUGCUGGCGUCAGUCGGCUCCUCUUGAAUGCAUCAGCGGAAUCCCAUUCAUUUCGGACGUCAGUGUGAUAAUCAUGUUGCGCUGUCUCUUGCCGAUCUUGAAAGCCCGCUCA